This 253-nucleotide ribosomal RNA is filed under the name uncultured bacterium. Its description in RNAcentral is "partial 16S ribosomal RNA". It matches the Rfam family "Bacterial small subunit ribosomal RNA", at positions 524 to 776 of the family's 1533-position model. The record is from RNAcentral.
UACGUAGGGGGCGAGCGUUGUCCGGAGUUACUGGGCGUAAAGGGCAUGCAGGCGGUCGGACGCGUUUUGUGUGACAGCGGAUGGCUUACCUAUCCGAGCAUACGAAAGACGGUGCGACUUGAGGACUCGAGAGGGACACGGAAUUCCGGGUGGAGUGGUGAAAUGCGUAGAGAUCCGGAGGAACACCGAAGGCGAAGGCAGUGUCCUGGCGAGUGACUGACGCUGAGGUGCGAAAGCCAGGGGAGCGAACGGG